RNAcentral lists this long non-coding RNA (210 nucleotides) under Homo sapiens (human). RNAcentral describes it as "non-protein coding lnc-IGFBP7-5:8". Lineage: Eukaryota; Metazoa; Chordata; Mammalia; Primates; Hominidae. The record is from RNAcentral.
AACAAAAGAAGAAUCCCAAGAUAAUCACGUAAUUAUGUUAGGAGAGAUUCUCAGUUCAAUCUAAUCCUGUCUAAACAGGCUGAAAGAAAUUAGUCACUCAGAAUUAUAUAAAAGGCUCUAUUGAGUCUUGCAAUGGUAAACAACAGACCCUGGAGUUUGAGGACAACACCAAGGUACUGCCAUACUUGAGGUGGAGAUGGCGUUUCUCAG